This 414-nucleotide ribosomal RNA is filed under the name uncultured microorganism. RNAcentral describes it as "bacterial SSU rRNA". It matches the Rfam family "Archaeal small subunit ribosomal RNA", at positions 459 to 872 of the family's 1478-position model. The record is from RNAcentral.
CAGCCGCCGCGGUAAUACCGGCGGCCCGAGUGGCGGUCACUAUUAUUGGGCUUAAAGCGUCCGUAGCCGGGUUGGGAAGGCCUCCGGGAAAUCUGGCCGCUUAACGGUCAGAAUGCCGGAGGAUACUCCCAGCCUAGGGAGCGGGAGAGGCCGAGGGUAUUCCCGGAGUAGGGGCGGAAUCCUAUAAUCCCGGGAGGACCACCUGUGGCGAAGGCGCUCGGCUGGAACGCGUCCGACGGUGAGGGACGAAGGCCAGGGGAGCAAACCGGAUUAGAUACCCGGGUAGUCCUGGCUGUAAACGAUGCGGACUUUGUGUCGGACAAGCUAUGAGCUUGUCCGGUGCCGGAGGGAAACCGUUAAGUCCGCCGCCUGGGGAGUACGGCCGCAAGGCUGAAACUUAAAGGAAUUGGCGGG